ACCCUCAAGAUUUGUUACCCAUCAGAUAUUAGCAUUGGUCUGAGUGGCUAUAAAGGAGGAAAAGUAAAACUAAACAAAAACAUAG
This 85-nucleotide small nucleolar RNA is filed under the name Echinops telfairi (small Madagascar hedgehog). Its description in RNAcentral is "Small nucleolar RNA SNORA61 (ENSETEG00000026571.1)". Lineage: Eukaryota; Metazoa; Chordata; Mammalia; Afrosoricida; Tenrecidae. The record is from RNAcentral.